AACUUCACACAGGGGUGAGCCCCGCUAGCUAGCGAGUAGCGAACAUAGAGAUUUGCCAGAUGUAGGUUAGGUAAUUUAGCUAGCUACAGUAGCUAGUCAAUGUUAGAAAACUAGCUAGCUAAUACAAACUCAAUAUACUACAUGGAAAGUAUAUUAUGUACAAUGUGCUAUGGUAACUUGUUAGCUAGCUGGCGUAGUUGGUAGGCCUAAUAAUAACGCCAGCUAACGUUUGCUACCUAGCUAAAUUUAGUUAAGUACGUUUGCUAACGUUAGCUAGCUACAGUUAUGCCUCUGCAGUUAGCUAACCAACACUUGGUGAGCAUAAUAAUAAAGAAAUCCCCAUCAAAAUCCUUCUUUUUAAGCAUUAGAUUUAUUUUUGAAUGGGCUGCGUCUCAAUCCACCGCAUCCGCUGAUGUCGUCCUUCCGUGGCAGAGCUGCGGUGUUGUUUGUCAGACCAGGAGACACCAAAUUCUGUCUGUAUCGUCCGAAAAGUUCGGCCUUCAAGCUGAGACUCACGAACAAGUACAUUUUUCUCUAGGACGCCCACAAGUGUCUGAAUGUAGCAGCUCCAGUGUUUGACUGCAGUCUUCCAGCUUCACUGAUGCCAUCUCUGGAUCCUGCAGUGCAAACUUGGCUCCACUGUCACAAUCAGGACGCAGUGACUGUAGGUUUGGAGUGUGGAAUUUGUCAACUCUGAACAGUAUCCCAGUCCUAAAUAGAAGUCUGAGAUCAACCUCCUCCCCUGUGGAUGCCACACCCCCUCCCAUUGUAAUGUAUAUAUGAACACAUUUUGAACAAUGGCUUCCUAAAAUGCUGUGGUGCUGACUAACACAAUAGGAAAGGUUGUGGUAGAUUUACAUAAUCAAUUGGGCAUUUCAACAGUCUGACCCUCAAUAUAGUCUUGGGAAUAUAUUGAGCUCUAACAAAGGGGCGUGGAAAAGGUCUGUUGAAAUGAAUACUGUAGUGGUGUGAGAAAGGUAACACAAGCUUCCUUUCUGGAUCCAUUCCCCAAUAGUAACUGGGUCAUUAUUGUAUUGUGGUGGUAAUGCUGUCCCUGGACUUUGGCACCAUAUAAAACACUUUAAAAAUGACAAUUUGUUUUAGUUUUAUUUAACUGUAAUUUAAUAAGAAACAUAUUCAAGUCCUUUACACUACGAAACAUUCAUUUGUAUGCAUUGUAGCAAAUUGGAUUGUCCCAAUGGUGGUGUGUAAAGGUGUAGUGACAUGUUUUGACUCAAUAGAUAUUUUGAAUGUCAUGAAUUAAACAAAAACAUUGUUUUUUGGGUUAACUAUACAGAAAAUACAAAAGGUUAAACCAGAACAAAUUCAUGUAGAAUGUUUAUUUUUCAUAGGCAGAUCAAUUACAUUCAUUGCAGUUAUCCAAAUAAAUGUAUCCAUGACUAAAGUAA
This is a long non-coding RNA of Salmo salar (Atlantic salmon), 1409 nucleotides long. RefSeq lists it as uncharacterized. The record is from RefSeq and is a predicted model, not a curated record. NCBI's taxonomy places the organism in Eukaryota, Metazoa, Chordata, Actinopteri, Salmoniformes, Salmonidae.